AUUGAACGCUGGCGGCAGGCUUAACACAUGCAAGUCGAGCGAGCGGCGGACGGGUGAGUAAUGUCUGGGAAACUGCCUGAUGGAGGGGGCUAUCCACUGGAAACGGUAGCUAAUACCGCAUUCCAUCAGAUGCGCCUAGAUGGGUUUAUCUAGUAGGUGGGGUAAUGGCUCACCUAGGCGACGAUCCCUAGGUGGUCCGAGUGGGUGACCAGCCACACUGGGGCUGAGACACGGUCCAGACUCCUACGGUAGGCAGCAGUGGGGAAUAUUGCGCAAUGGGCGCAAGCCUGAUGCAGCCAUGCCGCGUGUGUGAAGAAGGCCUUCGGGUUGUAAAGCACUUUCAGCAAGGAGGCGUUACUCGCAGAAGAAGCACCGGCUAACUCCGUGCCAGCCGCCGCGGUAAUAC
RNAcentral lists this ribosomal RNA (406 nucleotides) under uncultured bacterium. RNAcentral's name for it is "partial 16S ribosomal RNA". It matches the Rfam family "Bacterial small subunit ribosomal RNA", at positions 30 to 526 of the family's 1533-position model. The record is from RNAcentral.